Molecule: ribosomal RNA, 223 nt
Filed under: Staphylococcus epidermidis
Lineage: Bacteria; Bacillati; Bacillota; Bacilli; Caryophanales; Staphylococcaceae
Also listed under: 1 other name
Description: partial 16S ribosomal RNA
Rfam family: Bacterial small subunit ribosomal RNA
Source: RNAcentral
ACGUAGGUGGCAAGCGUUAUCCGGAAUUAUUGGGCGUAAAGCGCGCGUAGGCGGUUUUUUAAGUCUGAUGUGAAAGCCCACGGCUCAACCGUGGAGGGUCAUUGGAAACUGUAAAACUUGAGUGCAGAAGAGGAAAGUGGAAUUCCAUGUGUAGCGGUGAAAUGCGCAGAGAUAUGGAGGAACACCAGUGGCGAAGGCGACUUUCUGGUCUGUAACUGACGCU